UAGAGAGAGACAUGCGCGCAUAUCAAUAAGCGGAGGAAAAGAAAACUAACAAGGAUUCCCUUAGUAACGGCGAGUGAGGCGGGAAGAGCUCAAAUUUGAAAAUCUUCAAGGUUCUACCUUGACGAAUUGUAGUUUAUAGAAGUGUUUUUCUGUUAGUGGAGUGGCAAAAAGUUCUUUGGAAUAGGACAUCAUAGAGGGUGAGAAUCCCGUAUUUGGUCAUUCCUCCUAGCGUUGUGAUACACUUUCAACGAGUCGGAUUGUUUUGGGAAUGCAGUCCAAAAUGGGUGGUAAAUUUCAUCUAAAGCUAAAUAUUGGCGAGAGACCGAUAGCGAACAAGUACCGUGAGGGAAAGAUGAAAAGAACUUUGAAAAGAGAGUUAAAACAGUACGUGAAAUUGUCAAAAGGGAAGCGUUUUGACACCAGUGUUGUUUUUUCCGAAAAUCAAUUACGAAUGUUUUUAUUUUUGAGGAGUUAUGACUUCAUCGGCUUGCUCCUUUCUUUAUGAAACUUUCUUAAUGCACUUUUCGGUUAACAAGUCAACAUCAAUUUCUUUUGUUGUAAAAGGGUAUGAGGAAGGUGGCUUUCUUUUCGGAGAAAGUGUUUUAUAGCCUUGUGCCUCUGCAAUCGGAGAGAUUGAGGUCUGCAGCGUAGAUCCUUCGGGGUUAGAUACGUUUGUGCUAAGUUAUAGCUUUUUCAUAGACAACUUGUUGACUAUGUUUAGUCUUGUAGCUUACUCGCUGACGCUAUUUUACCUACGCUUAGGAUGUUGAUAGUCACAGCGUGUAC
Molecule: ribosomal RNA, 786 nt
Filed under: uncultured Neocallimastigales
Lineage: Eukaryota; Fungi; Neocallimastigomycota; Neocallimastigomycetes; Neocallimastigales
Description: partial large subunit ribosomal RNA
Rfam family: Eukaryotic large subunit ribosomal RNA
Source: RNAcentral